Molecule: non-coding RNA, 471 nt
Organism: Vicia faba (fava bean)
Lineage: Eukaryota; Viridiplantae; Streptophyta; Magnoliopsida; Fabales; Fabaceae
Source: the annotation of a GenBank genome assembly
CACAAUUCACCUAUUCACAAAAAUACCAAAAAAAUCUAUUUGUAUUUGUUCCGUGAUCAAACUCUACUCUCUCAAUUUUUCUCUCAAGAACACAACAACUUCAACAACAUCUUCAUCCAUCUUCAUCAAGGAUUGUCAUCAAUUCAUCACUGGUUCGCCUCAGAACACCGGUUGAAGGACAACCACCACCACCAACAACCUUCACUUCCGACAAACCAACUAUCUUCUCUGACCACUCCUCCCUCCGGUACAGCCCCACUCCGGUCAUCAUCAUCAUUAAAUUCUCCUCUUCAUCUUCUCCAAUUAUCAAGGUUCUCCAAGAGUGAUUCCGGAGCCAAUGGUGUGUUCACUUUUCAGUUUUGGCGAAUUUUUUCUCCGUUUUUUCUGCUAUUGUAUUGUUAUGAGAAUAACCUUUGGGUAUUGAUUUUGGACGAACCGAAUCUGUUUUUGAAUCCGUUGGCAUGUUUAUAG